Oryza glumipatula is the source of this 73-nucleotide non-coding RNA. The record is from Rfam. NCBI's taxonomy places the organism in Eukaryota, Viridiplantae, Streptophyta, Magnoliopsida, Poales, Poaceae.
AUAGAUGUUAAUGAAUCUAGACACGUAGAUUCAAUUUCAUGAAUCUACGUGUCUAGAUUCAUUAACAUCUAUA